UGCUAUACCAUAUAUCAGCAGGAGAAGAUACGACCUCUCCUAGGAGACGUGUGAUCUAUACCAGAACACUCUGAGGAGGAGUGAACGCACUCCCCUCUUCAUGCUACACAGAGUUGUUAUAGACCUCCUAGGAUGAGACAUUCUUUCAAUCUACAAAUGAUUAGCGCUCAAGGAAAAAGUUUGUACGAAGAGUUUACGAUUCACCUGGACCAAACCACACUUGGCAUGUUGAUGGAUAUGACAAAUUAAAGCCAUAUGGUUUGGCUAUCAGUGGUUGUAUUGAUGGCUAUUCGCGGAAGGUAUUAUGGUUGGUUUGCAGAGCAACUAACAGCAACCCAGAAGUCAUAGCUCAACACUACGUUCAGUGUGCUUCAGAGUUUGGAGUCAUACCAGUGCGACUUCGCACUGACUGCGGCACUGAAAAUGGGACGAUGGCAGCAAUGCAUUGUGCCUUACGGUCAUCUCAUCAAGAUUUUUUUGCAGGAGCUGCCAGUCAUAUGUAUGGAUCUUCAACAACAAAUCAAAGAAUUGAAAGCUGGUGGCCGUACUUCAGAAAACAGCGAACACAGUUCUGGAUGGACCUUUUGAGUGACAUGAAGGAAAUGCACCUCUUCAAUGGUAGUCAUGAACACAUGUGCUUGGUGCGCUUCAUUUUCAUGGCUGUGCUUCAGAGGGAUCUGGAUGAAUGCAAAAGAAAGUGGAACACGCACCUGAUCCGUCCAGUUAGUCAGUCACGCUGUCCAUCUGGUAAACCCGAUGUGAUGUAUUACCUACCUCAUAGAGUUUAGGUUUGGUGGACGUGACUGUGGCCUUGCAGUUGGACAUCAAGAGCUGAGUCAGUUCAGGAUGAGUUCAACUCCCGAUUUCUGUGGAGACCCUCACCUACAGGAAUAUUUUGAAGGACUAAACAGUGGCUUCAGUUCAUCACAGACAUUGAAACUACAUCAGACUAAAAGGACUUGCUGGGUUGUAAUGCCAAGGUUCCCACACAUCCCAGAACUGUGGAGUCCACUUUGUGGUUAUAAUAAUGCACCACCUGCACUUUUGUGAAGGCUAAAAAAAAUGUUUUUUGCUUCAAGUAGAACACAAUUAUAGUUCAUCAGUUUAUAGUCACUUAAAAAAUAGCCUUUGUGUUUUUCCA
Long non-coding RNA from Oreochromis aureus, 1141 nucleotides. RefSeq lists it as uncharacterized. The transcript is spliced from 3 exons. The record is from RefSeq and is a predicted model, not a curated record. NCBI's taxonomy places the organism in Eukaryota, Metazoa, Chordata, Actinopteri, Cichliformes, Cichlidae.